CAGGGAGACAACAAAAUGUUUAAUAUUAUUAUUUUGUCACCUUAGGUCGAUCGGUAUCUCACAUUUUUAAUUUAUUAAGAAUUUCAUUUCCUAAGUUUUUCUAGGUCACACCCAUUAUUUUUCCUGGGCCAUUAGCUCAGGUGGUUAGAGCGCACCCCUGAUAAGGGUGAGGUCCCUGGUUCAAGUCCAGGAUGGCCCAUAUCUCUAUGUUGGGGGUAUAGCUCAGUUGGUAGAGCGCCUGCUUUGCAAGCAGGAUGUCAGCGGUUCGAGUCCGCUUACCUCCACUGAUUACCACCUCUUUCAUAACCGGAAUAAAGGAAAUGUUUUGAGUUGUGAUCAACUUCUGGAAGAAUCUAGCUUCCUAAUGAAAUCAUUAAGAUGCUGGACUCAUUGAAUUAAUUUCAUUGUUUUCAGAGAACCUUGACAACUGCAUAGAUUAUUUUUAAAGACAAUAAGCAUCUUUAAUGAUGCAGAUUUAUUAUUUGUGCGAAUGCAUUAAUAACAAUUCUAUUAAGCUGAUGCUUCAAUUUUGAAGUUAUU
This 540-nucleotide transfer RNA is filed under the name uncultured cyanobacterium. RNAcentral describes it as "partial 16S-23S ribosomal RNA intergenic spacer". The stretch from base 212 to 284 matches the Rfam family "tRNA". The record is from RNAcentral. Lineage: Bacteria; Bacillati; Cyanobacteriota.